This 253-nucleotide ribosomal RNA is filed under the name uncultured bacterium. RNAcentral's name for it is "partial 16S ribosomal RNA". It matches the Rfam family "Bacterial small subunit ribosomal RNA", at positions 524 to 776 of the family's 1533-position model. The record is from RNAcentral.
UACAGAGGUCUCAAGCGUUGUUCGGAUUCAUUGGGCGUAAAGGGUGCGUAGGCGGCGCGGUAGGUCGGGUGUGAAAUCUCGGGGCUUAACUCCGAAACUGCAUUCGAUACUGCCGUGCUUGAGGACUGGAGAGGAGACUGGAAUUUACGGUGUAGCGGUGAAAUGCGUAGAUAUCGUAAGGAAGACCAGUGGCGAAGGCGGGUCUCUGGACAGUUCCUGACGCUGAGGCACGAAGGCCAGGGGAGCAAACGGG